UUUGUAUCUCAAACAAUAAUAUAAAAAUUAUUAUUAUUUAGUGUUCUUUUAUUUUUACUGAAUUAAUUAAGUAAUUAUUAUUUGACUUAUACACAUAAACAUGGAUGUAAUCUGUUUUCAAAAUAUGAAUUAGAUGUGAAACAUCUUAUUCAUUCACAGUGUUAUAUUGGUUACUCAAUUAGAAAGACAAAGGGUUUUCACUGUUCCCAUCUUUGGUAACUAUUUUUUUAUUUAUUGAUCACCUAUACUAAGUAAUUGAUUUACUAUGAACCAUUUAGUUAAUCGAAAAAUAAAAAUUGUUUCAAGAUUUUAUUUUUUGGUUUAUAUUAAAUUAUGAUUUAUAAAUUCAGGAUAAAAUGUAACUAAAAGAAAAUCAAACAGAAAUUCUAAAUAUUAUUGUAAGACCAGCUACUGCAAUAAGGGGUGCAGGAUAUAUGUCACAUUCAUCAGAGAGUUAUGAUCUUCGAAAAAUUUAACCGUUAUGCCUGAACUUAACAAAGAAGAAAGAAUGGAAGAUAAAAUAAAAAAAAACUAGAAAAACGUAUUCACGAUUUAGUAGACAAAGUUUGCUUGACAGAAGAAAAUGGUGCUCCAAAAUAAGGUUGGCCAGCAAAAAUAGAAGACCAAGUUAUUUUACCGUAUUUUCGUCGACGGAAUGAGUUAUCGAUCGAUAAAGAUUGCAUUAUUGUAG
This is a long non-coding RNA of Daktulosphaira vitifoliae (grape phylloxera), 691 nucleotides long. RefSeq lists it as uncharacterized. The transcript has 3 exons. The record is from RefSeq and is a predicted model, not a curated record. Lineage: Eukaryota; Metazoa; Arthropoda; Insecta; Hemiptera; Phylloxeridae.